This 301-nucleotide ribosomal RNA is filed under the name uncultured bacterium. RNAcentral's name for it is "partial 16S ribosomal RNA". It matches the Rfam family "Bacterial small subunit ribosomal RNA", at positions 509 to 807 of the family's 1533-position model. The record is from RNAcentral.
CAGUAGCCACGGUAAUACGAAGGGUGCAAGCGUUAAUCGGAAUUACUGGGCGUAAAGCGUGCGUAGGCGGUGAGUUAAGUCUGCUGUGAAAUCCCCGGGCUCAACCUGGGAAUGGCAGUGGAUACUGGCUCGCUAGAGUGUGUCAGAGGAUGGUGGAAUUCCCGGUGUAGCGGUGAAAUGCGCAGAUAUCAGGAGGAACACCGGUGGCGAAGGCGGGUCUCUGGGCCAUUACUGACGCUGAGGAGCGAAAGCGUGGGGAGCAAACAGGAUUAGAUACCCCCGUAGUCCCUGUCUCUUAUAC